GUGACCUAUCAGAAGAAAACAAGCAUUGCAGUUUCGCAAGUCCACAGAUUCCCCUUGUUGCACAGUCUGAUUUUUUCUGAAGAAUAUUGUUUUAGAUGUCUCGUCUAAGCAGACCAUCAGGAGACAUCUAUGAGCCCGCUAAUAGAAGAUGAACUCACCUCAACCAGCGUCUGCGAAUCCAGACUGGGGCCUCCAGAAAGGUUUUCAGCCGUUUCUCUGAGAACCAGACCUCACCCAAGACCUUCUCCUUGCCAGCCGGGAUUGCUGUCACACAUUCCUGUUUCUGUUUAUGCCCGAAGACGUUCAGAAACAUCAAAUGCCGCUGCCUGCUUGCUUAACAAUGUUUUGUUCAGAGAACAUAUUACACUUCUUUUCCAUUGUCUAGGCAGGCUCCCAGUCCGUAACCAGGUGUAACACAAGGUGUUAGUCCUGGCCUACAGAGCCUUGUAGAGUUACAAAUCUGGCUGUUAGAAACGCCAUUUCUGCCUUGCAACUGAGUCGUCGGCGCUCACAGCCCCAGAUUUCGCUGUGGGCGCUGGAGCACUCAGGACGGCCCCGUCCCGAGGCACGCCGGGCACGAGCUGCCGGGGGCUUUGCUGGGAAACUCCCCCCCAGAAGUUUGCACUUCUAAUUUCUGGACUCAUUUCUGUUUGGUGUCAGCUUUUGACUCUGGGAGAUACUCAGAGGAAUCUGAAGUUUGUGAUGGCUUUAGAAGGCCCUAAGGAGUUUGAUUCAACUGUAAUUGCAUCUGAACUCUGAAUCUUGGUAAGCGCUUGAAUGGUCUGAUACAGGCUUAGUUUAUCAGGAAGGUUAUAAAUGAUGGUAGAAGUACGUUAACAUGAGACACAAAGCUUGUGCCGAAUGGGAGGAAGAGCGACGGUGCGUGCAGAGCUGGGUAGCAGCACACAAGUCAUGUUUCCAGUUCCUGGAUAUACCAGCAUUUAAACCAAAUCAGAAAGGAGGGAAUGGUCUGAGGAAGCAAAGGACGGAACAGAAGGAACUGUUUCCCUGCGUUUAAACCCCUGCGGGUUCCUUGGGAGAGACUGUGCCCUUUCUGCUAGACUCAUUAGUUAUUGUCCUUUUUAGCUGGAACUUUGGUUUUCCACGACUGUGGGAUUAACCCCUUGGCUAAUCCAAGGUCGUCUAAGAAUAACCCUCAUAUGCAAGUGGUGAUACCAGACAAGCAUUACUCUAGGAGGAAUCUUUUACCAAAAUGUUUGAUCAAGUCUAACCUAACCUUAUCAGGCCCUAGAGAACACUGUUGUAUGGUCAGCCUUUAAAUUAGUCGGUUCUCCUGACAUCGCUCAAGUUCUUGCUUAGAAAACCCUCAGCUUUAAAUAAAGUUCCCCUCUCCUAAGAAGUUCA
RNAcentral lists this long non-coding RNA (1365 nucleotides) under Struthio camelus australis. RNAcentral describes it as "lncRNA (ENSSCUG00000005429.1)". The record is from RNAcentral. Lineage: Eukaryota; Metazoa; Chordata; Aves; Struthioniformes; Struthionidae.